This 301-nucleotide ribosomal RNA is filed under the name uncultured bacterium. RNAcentral's name for it is "partial 16S ribosomal RNA". It matches the Rfam family "Bacterial small subunit ribosomal RNA", at positions 509 to 807 of the family's 1533-position model. The record is from RNAcentral.
CAGCCGCCGCGGUAAUACAGAGGGUGCGAGCGUUAAUCGGAUUUACUGGGCGUAAAGCGUGCGUAGGCGGCUAAUUGAGUCGGAUGUGAAAUCCCCGAGCUUAACUUGGGAAUUGCAUUCGAUACUGGUUAGCUAGAGUGUGGGAGAGGAUGGUAGAAUUCCAGGUGUAGCGGUGAAAUGCGUAGAGAUCUGGAGGAAUACCGAUGGCGAAGGCAGCCAUCUGGCCUAAUACUGACGCUGAGGUACGAAAGCAUGGGGAGCAAACAGGAUUAGAUACCCGUGUAGUCCCUGUCUCUUAUAC